This 86-nucleotide non-coding RNA is filed under the name Scandinavium goeteborgense. RNAcentral's name for it is "DsrA RNA". It matches the Rfam family "DsrA RNA". From Rfam's summary of the family: DsrA RNA regulates both transcription, by overcoming transcriptional silencing by the nucleoid-associated H-NS protein, and translation, by promoting efficient translation of the stress sigma factor, RpoS. The record is from RNAcentral. Lineage: Bacteria; Pseudomonadati; Pseudomonadota; Gammaproteobacteria; Enterobacterales; Enterobacteriaceae.
UCCGCAUCAGAUUUCUUGGUGUAACGAAUUUUCAAGUGCUUCUUGCUUAAGCAAGUUUCAACCCGAUCACUCCAUGGUCGGGUUUU